This 253-nucleotide ribosomal RNA is filed under the name uncultured bacterium. RNAcentral's name for it is "partial 16S ribosomal RNA". It matches the Rfam family "Bacterial small subunit ribosomal RNA", at positions 524 to 776 of the family's 1533-position model. The record is from RNAcentral.
UACGAAGGAUGCAAGCGUUAUCCGGAUUCAUUGGGUUUAAAGGGAGCGUAGGCGGACUUGUAAGUCAGUGGUGAAAUCUGUGGGCUUAACCCACAAACUGCCAUUGAUACUGCAGGUCUAGAGUACAGUUGCCGUUGGCGGAAUAUGACAUGUAGUGGUGAAAUACUUAGAUAUGUCAUAGAACACCGAUUGCGAAGGCAGCUAACGAAGCUGUAACUGACGCUGAGGCUCGAAAGUGCGGGGAUCAAACAGG